AUGUACUUCGGGCUGUACUACUUCCUCGACAAGUUCGCCGGCGACACGUGCACGGCCCUCGAGGAGUACCAGCUGAACCCCAAGAACAGUAUGCUGGGCGCCAUCAUACCCUGCAGCGAGAAGAUGUCCGGCAGCGUCAUCCUGCACGAUGUUGGUGCAGGCAUACACGACAUCAUAGACCAGGUACUCCAAAAGUAA
Molecule: ribosomal RNA, 198 nt
Filed under: Triticum aestivum (bread wheat)
Lineage: Eukaryota; Viridiplantae; Streptophyta; Magnoliopsida; Poales; Poaceae
Description: partial small subunit ribosomal RNA
Source: RNAcentral